Long non-coding RNA from Ananas comosus (pineapple), 2230 nucleotides. RefSeq lists it as uncharacterized. The record is from RefSeq and is a predicted model, not a curated record. Lineage: Eukaryota; Viridiplantae; Streptophyta; Magnoliopsida; Poales; Bromeliaceae. The transcript is spliced from 4 exons.
UCUUCGAUCCCUGCUACCCCCGCCUCUUCGAUGGCGCAUCCGUUUCGAUCCCGGUUGCUCCCCUAUCUCUCCUCUCCUCUCCUCUCCUCUCCGACCCUUUCCUUCGAUCCCCUUCGUCCCCUCGACCUCUCCCCUCCCCCGAAACCCUAGCUCUCUCGAUCGUGGGGGGUGGGGUGCAGCCAUGAAGCUUGCGGGGCUCAGAUCGGAAUCGUUCCUUUGCCCCCGCCUCUUCGAUCGCUCCCCGAUUCCCACCGCUUCGAUCCCUGCCCCGCCUCUUCUAACCCUCCCCUGCAACCGCCGCUUCGAUCCCUCCUCCACCUCUUCAAUCCUUCCUCUGCCUCUUCGAUCUCUCUCUACGCUUCAUAUAUAAGUUGAAUUCUUGCAGGCUUCCGUGUCGAUCCCUCCUCUCGCACACCCCUCUCCCCGCCUCCUUCCCCUGUCGCCCCGCAUGGCGCGGAGGUCCUGCGGAUCCGCGCCGAACUCUCUCAUAUCUCUUUCCGAUCUGCAAGGAUCUUCUUCUCCUCCUCCCCCUCGCCAUCAUGCGAUCGAUCGGAGGAGCUUGCAGGCCCCUGCGCCCUCUCCCCAGCGCUCGCGCCCUAUUCGAUGAAAUGCCGAGGCGAUUGCAGGGCGCUUCGCGGGCAUCGGAGAAGUAGGGCGCGGUGUUGGGAUGGUGAUAAAUAUUAUUCCUUUACAUUUAUAUGUCUGAUCAUGUAAAUAGAGGUAUAAAUUAGCAACUCUAGGUAAAACUCUUUCCUUUCCCCUUUCCUGCAGCAUGCUUUAAAACAAAAGGAGAAAAAAAAGUGCCCUAGAAUCCACAGGCUCCUCCUUUCUCCUUUCCUUCAGCAUGGUUAAGUGCAACGGUUUGAGGAGGGGCCUUUUCCAAUUUCAGAUUUGGGGUCCCAAAGAAGUCCAGACAAAAGUAAACAGGGGGGGAAGAACUGUAGUUCGGUCCUGUGCAGUUUAUAGCAAUGUUUUGUUUGUUAUGGGUUAUUUUGCUUGCACUUGAACGUGAUAAGAAUUUGAACCUUCUAUUCCCCGAGACUUUGUCUUCCCCGUUUUCCUCCCGUGCGAUGAUGACUUUCCCAAAAUCAGAUGAUCGCUAUAAUUGAGAAAGGCAUGUGUUUUCUUGAUUGGUAAUGAGAGCACUUUGGAUGGCUUACUUCUUAAGCAACCAGUUGUUCUCAUUUGUGCUAAGAAUGGUUUCGGCGUUCGCAUGGUUUCUAGCUCGGUUGGCACUAUUAAUCAGGAAGACUUCGCUGCCAAUCUGAUAAUGCUUGAUAACUAGGGGUGUCUGAGCAAAAAUUAUUUAUUUAUUUCCAUACCUACUCAUGUUUGCUGCUCCUCUUUACUCUUCUCUUCUUUGUAAACAUUGGUUUCAUGUUUUUUUAAACUAUUGGGAUUUCCCCAAAUUGCAUCUUUGGCUUUGAUUUGUCAAAUCUCUUUGUUUUCGACUUGCUUUUACCUGCAUUUGAUUUCUUUUUCCCUUUUUUUUUUUUAGCAACCUUUCAAGACUUGGUUAUUUUACAUCAUUAUUUUGAGGUGUUCUGUAGAAAAAACUCUAUUCUUUUGCUUUUCCUUCGCCCUGAUUUUCGAAGCAAAAAAAAUUAUAUGCCGUGGAAUCCGCAAGUCCCUGUUUUCGAUUUCUGCAGGUUGCCUAUGCCUUCCUGCUGGCUGUCGGCUCUUAAUACUACUCGAAGAGUGUCCUGGAUAUAUUCAUGAGUUGUUACAAAACAAUGCUAUAUUUCUUGAUAACCUGUAUCGCCAUAUCUCAUGAUAUUACUGCUAUAAUGAAGCACUCUGAUAUGCCCACGACCUGUUCGUAGAAAUGCUUCUUCCAAUCAUAUUUCUAACAUAAGAGGAUUUCACUCUCAGUAAUGGAGCACCUACACAACCCCAAACUGUCCCCAUGGAGUUGGUUCAUCCUACUUUCUUACAAGUAGCUGCAGCUAUCUACCAGGAUACACCGAAUUUCCGCCGUUACUUUAACUGUUGAAAUACGGAUAUCUACCAACUUAAGGUACCGACGACUUCUGCUUAUUAUUUCCGCUUCCCCCAGCCUUUUUUUGAGCAUUGUUUCUCAAUCCUGUUUUUUCUUACUUCAACUUAGUCUUAUUGCUGUGUUUUCACUCCCUUGAAUUGCAACUUUUCAAGAAUGUAUAUACUGUUAUAAAUUUGUGGAAUUCUAAUAUCAGUAUUUUAAUUAUUUAUCUUGCAGCUAUCAUUUCUCUUU